Molecule: RNA transcript, 4423 nt
Organism: Balaenoptera musculus (blue whale)
Lineage: Eukaryota; Metazoa; Chordata; Mammalia; Artiodactyla; Balaenopteridae
Gene: CLN8
Gene name: CLN8 transmembrane ER and ERGIC protein
Exons: 7
Source: RefSeq, a predicted model, not a curated record
UCCGCGCCUUGGUAGCGACCGGCCGCCGCUAGGCCCCGGCCGCCGCUAGGUCCCGCCCCCCGGGUGCGCAUGCGCGGCGACUGCGCCCGGGUCGUGACACAGCCGUGCGCAGGUGGAGGAUGGGCGCAUGAGGGUCCCGGGGCCGUGGCCUGGCGCAGCGUGUGGACCCCGGCCCAGCCUCUGCGACGUCAGCAGCAUGAGCCUCCCGAGCAGCGGGCCAGCGGGCAGCAUCUUUGACCUGGACUGCACCUCCGGGCAGGUCCGCUGGGCACUGGUGGCCGCCGGGUGCGCCUUCUACCUGGGCGUCUUUGUGGCCUGCCACCAGCUGUCAUCCUCCCUGAACGCCACCUACCGCUCCCUGGGGGCCCGGGAGCAGGUCUUCUGGAACCUGGCGGCCACGCGCGCAGUCUUUGGCAUCCAGGGCACCGCGGCGGGGCUACGGGCGCUGCUGCUGGACCCCGUGCUCCAGGCCGACAAAGUGCUCGGCCAGCAGAACUGGUGCUGGUUCCACAUCGCCACGGCAACCGGCUUCUUCCUCUUCGAGAACCUCGCGCUCCACGUGUCCAAUGCGCUGUUCCGCACGUUCGACGGGUUCCUGGCCGUCCACCACCUCUUCGCCUUCCUCGGGUUUCUGGGCUCCGUGGUCAACCUCCAAGCUGGCCACUACCUGCCCAUGAUCACGCUGCUCCUGGAGGUGAGCACUCCCUUCACCUGCAUCUCCUGGAUGCUCCUAAAGGAAACACAGUGGACUCCUGUGCAUUUUCCUUCACCACAACCCUGUGUCAGAUUGGCUUCGCUGUGUGUGUAUCAGGCGAGCAGACUUUGCUUCGGUAACAGUUAUGGUGACCCAGAUGGAACAUUCGUGCUGAGUGGUUUCCCACCUGUGGCACAUCAGCCCCUGGCGGGUGGCGGCUCUGGGAUCCUGUCCAGCAGCUGCCCGGGCGCUUUUGUCUCAGGGACAGCCCCCAGUGCCUGCCGCUGACUGGGCAUCGCUGGACCACGGCACUUUCGAUUCCCUGAAGGAAGCAAGGCUGUGGUCCUGGUCUGAGACAUCUGGAGUCUCUCGGUCAUCCGGCACUGCCUACAGUCACCCCCCGUUAGACCACGGCUCCUCUGCACCCCGGUUGGAACAGCAGAAUCAUCACAAGGAAAAUAACUUGAUACAAUGGAACUUUUAAGACACUCAAGUUUGUUUCUGAAGCUUAUCACAGCAAUCUCUCUUUGGAUAAAGAUCAUACAUACUGGAAAAGGCAUCAUUGAAAGGACUGUCUCCAACCUAGAUGGAAGGACUCUUACGAGGCUAGGCCACUGUGAAGCACUCGUGUCAACCGCACCAGUCUACUGCUGACUGACUGAAGAAAAACGCACAACCUUCAGGUUUUUUGGGGGGCCGUACUGAGGACUAUAGCCUGUCAGACAGCCCUCAGAGGUUACAGAGGAGCCAGGGUACGUAGGAGUUUUUUGCUUGAAACAGGAAAUUCUGAACAAAGAUUCCUGCUAACCACAAAAACAGGCAUCUCAGGUUAAUGAUUUUAGUGCUUUUCUAUGCAUGAGAAGAUGCAAGAGUCUGGGCUCAGUGAAAAUAUCCUUUAGGUGUGCAUCUUAACUAAGGCCAGUAUCCAGAGCACAGAAUGGUGCCUGGUAUCCUCCAUUCAUGGCCAGUUUGUCCCACAGUGCUGGGAAUUCUCAUUUUGUAGGUCAGAUGAGGACUUGAUAGGCCAAUGUUUUAUUUUUGGAUUAGGCCCUGUUGAUAACCUAAAAUUCUCUGGAUCACCUGUCCUAACUAAUCUGUUAUGAUCCGGGAAGUCUUUUUCCUUGUUUCUUCUCAUAUCUAGAGUUGCACUAUUCCAAUUAUUCAAUAUAGAGUCAUAUAUAUAUAUGACUGACUGCCUCAAGAUUUUAGCCAUCAUUCAUUUUGUCAAAGGCCUGGUUACACAUUGGGUAAUACAAGAGACAAUGAUCUUAUAAAACAGACAGGAUAUCAUACAGGUAGUAACAUUAAUAAAGUCAUAAGUAGGGAUUUAAGCCAUGAGGUUCUGGAACCAAAACCAGCUCCCUAAAACGAUCACCAAGACUAGGAAGUGAAUCACUUAAGGCAGAAAUCUGGUUUUUCGUGUGGGUCAUUAAAUGCAUCCUAUUAGAAGAUUUGUCUGGUAUGAAAACACAGCAUUCAGUUUGAAUUACAGCACAGGUGCCUCCUUGAGAUGCUAUAAGGCUAUCAAGGGCCAUGUGAUUUUGUAAUACCGCUUUUCUCAUCAUAGAGGCCUCAAUGAUUGAUCAUUUAGGGGCUUUUGGGUGAAUUCUGUUAAGGCUUUGAUAUGGGGAGGUCCAUCUUCCAAUCCUACUAAAAGCAUAAAAAUAGAUGCUACAUGAUCAUACCAGGGGAAUACAGAUCUCUUGGUAAAUUUGCUGGAGUCAUCUCUAAAUUAGCACACAAGUGGCCUUGAGCCUUAGGGAAUCCUGAAGUAUAUCUUCCCAUCCAUCCUGGAAGAAGCCAGGGAUGUAGAUUGGUGCCACAAAACCACUGAGUUCCACUGGGUGCAACCCAGUAUACUCCUGGGCGCCUGACCCAGUCUGUUCCAUAUCAAUCACUAUCUUUAAGGGAAAUGAUGAUACACUGACAUUUUUCAUUAAGGCACCCAGCCUAAUUUUCUGGUGUUAUUAGGCUGAAUAUCUUCAGUGUGAUUUAAUUGUUCCUAACAUAGGGAGGCGCCUUAAGGGACCACAGCCUGGUAUUAGCCAUAUAAACCUAUCCCAUAACUGAGGGGGUGUCCCUCCUAAUAGUCAGGAAGUUAUAAUUUUUGACUGAAAUUUAGCUGUUGCUGUAAUUGAGCUUGAGUAACUUUAAGGGAAAACUCAUUUAUGGCCAAAGUCAGAGCAAGAAUGCUUGACUGGCCAAGUGAGGGGUUCCCAUAGUAGCAUCAGCUGCGGAUCAGACAGAACUUGAACUUCUUUUUUCUAAAAUUUUCUAUGGGCCAUCCAAUCAGAGCCUUGGAGAGGAGAAACCCCCUAACCAGAAGUAGUGGAUGUAGGUAAUUGACCACAAACCCAACAACUGGAAUGACUUCUAAAAUCUGCACAGGAUCGUACCCAUGAUAGAAAAACAUUUGAUUCAUGUGCAAAAAGUCCAAGAAAUCAAGAAAAUGUUAUUAAUAAUCAUACGGUAAGGUCCAGCAUCUUGGGAUAGCUGUCUCCUUCUGAUGUCGUCGUCUUCUCGUCCUGGCGUUGGUGUUUCUUUCCUAUCAGAGCAUCGCUUUAAGGGGAGUUUGAGGUCAGCAGUCCUCUCUGUAGACCAGACCGGUGCCUUUUUAGGUGGGAAAUAUGAAUCCAAGAGUCAAUUACCUUCGAUUUUGCUGUGCAUGAGCUACUUAAAAGAACCUGAUAAGGGACCUUCCAUCUAGGUUGGAGAGAGUCCUUUAAAUGAUGCCUUUUCCAGGUUGCAGGUCAUAGGGCAUCUGAUCAUCAUUUAAAGAAAGAGUACUGUGAUAAGGUCCGGAAACAAGCUUAUAAUGUCCUGUUAAUGCAAUUAAACCCUUGCAAUAACGUAACAUACCCCUUCUCAUUAGUAUAGGUUCAUAUAGUCCUUCAUCCAGUCUCACUGGUCUCCCCCUGAUCAGUUCAAAAGGAGACAAAUGUUUUCCGAAACGGGUGGAUCUGAGGUUGAGGAGAACCAAUGGAAGGGCCUUAGGCCAGGUAAGGAAUAAGCAUUCAUCAUCUUAGCCAGUUGGGUUUUAAUUGUUCCCUUUGUUCUUUCUACUAACCCAGAGUACUGGGGGUGGUAAGCACAAUGGAAAUGCUGCGUAACGGGCCCAAUCUUAACCAUUUGUCCAGUAAAAUGAGUUCCUCUGUCAGCAUGUGGUUCUGAGGGGGGUCCCCAGAUGGGCAUCACUCUUCGUAAAAUAAAUUCCCUACCGAUUGGGCUGUGGCCCUUCAGCAUGGGAUGCCUCAACCCAGUGUGAAAACAUACAAAUCAUAACAAGAACAUACUGAUAACCUUGAGAGGGGGGCACUGUAUAAAAUCAGUCUGCCAAAUUGCAACGGGACCUGCAGGUCAUGGCAAAUUCCCUUGAGAACUAUGUAACGGCUUCCCUAGGUUAUAUUUUGGACAAGUGGUACAUCUUGAAUAAACACCUCCCAAGCUAUCACAAAAGCCUUUCGACAAUUUUUUACCCCAUAAUACCGUCUUAUCUGGGUUCCAGUGUAUUAACUCGUGAAUAUAUUGCAAAAUAGGAUAUUGAGCUUCAAACAGAAGGAUAGGCUUCCCGUCUGGGUGUAUCCACAGCUCUUUGCGUGCGUUCAGUCUUCCUCCCUUGUGUGUCCAGGUGUCUGUUUUCUGGUGCUGUUCCUUGAAACUUUACCAUGUCAGUAAGGUUGCUGGGAGGCUGAAAGGGAAAGGCAGUGGUUAGCUGGUUGUUUUUGUUUU